UCGUUGUGGCUCUCUCAAAUCAAGCACAAGUUGUUGUUGAUUCGCCAUCAAGCUCAUAUUUUCAUUCAUUUGUCAUUGUUCACUCAAAUGGAGACCGUAAAGUCGUAGCUUUUGCUUUGUGCUUUGGGUUCACCAUUUCAUAAGUUAGGAAUAUUGUGCCUUAGGGUUUGGAAUCAAAGGUGGAUUCUGAGGAUUUCUGUGAAUCAUCAAGGCUCAUGACACAUAAUUGGCGAUUUAUCAAGCAUCAUCUUGGGGCCUCAAUUUUUACCUGUCCAAGACUAUCACCGAGUGAAUCUCCAUACCCAAUAAUGAUAUUGAAGAUUGAGAACAGUAGUGCUAGCCACCAAUAGGUAAAUAUGUAUCUCCUUACAAGAUUGUUUUAGUCCAUGCUUAAAGGGAUUUAUGUGGCUAAAGUUUCUUCCUUUUUACUUUGGCAUAGUACUUCCUAUCUUAGUAUAUGCUUACAUUUCUAUUUUAGAUUUGCUCUUUGUCUUGCUCAU
This is a long non-coding RNA of Glycine soja, 500 nucleotides long. RefSeq lists it as uncharacterized. The record is from RefSeq and is a predicted model, not a curated record. The transcript is spliced from 3 exons. Lineage: Eukaryota; Viridiplantae; Streptophyta; Magnoliopsida; Fabales; Fabaceae.